GGAUGUGAGGGCAAUCUAGUUGCAACUCUUGUUAUCCCAUUGAUUGCCAGGAGUGUUUUGCUGAUCUGGCUGGUUAAGAUGGGUGUCCUCUUCCUCUGCUAUCUUUUCACAUGUGUGCCUCCCAAAGCAGAGGGCUUGCUUGAAGAGGAUGACCUUCCUUGGGAGAGGAGGACCAUUUUCAGUAAGUGUGUAAGUAGCUGUGCUUCCUUGUUAGGACCUCCAAACAAGCUUGCAAAGUCCACUUGUAGGAAAAGGAAAAGAGAAAAACCUAUGAUC
RNAcentral lists this small nuclear RNA (276 nucleotides) under Chinchilla lanigera (long-tailed chinchilla). RNAcentral describes it as "7SK RNA (ENSCLAG00000021696.1)". It matches the Rfam family "7SK RNA", at positions 1 to 283 of the family's 331-position model. From Rfam's summary of the family: 7SK was discovered as an abundant small nuclear RNA in the mid-70s but a possible function has only recently been suggested. Two independent studies have found that 7SK RNA binds the CDK9/cyclin T complex (known as elongation factor P-TEFb). P-TEFb activates transcription by phosphorylating the C-terminal domain of RNA polymerase II. Lineage: Eukaryota; Metazoa; Chordata; Mammalia; Rodentia; Chinchillidae. The record is from RNAcentral.